Long non-coding RNA from Hyla sarda, 560 nucleotides. RefSeq lists it as uncharacterized. The record is from RefSeq and is a predicted model, not a curated record. The transcript has 3 exons. Lineage: Eukaryota; Metazoa; Chordata; Amphibia; Anura; Hylidae.
GAGCGCCCCACACCGUCCUGAGAACCUUGCCGGAUUAUGAGCCCGAGAUGGAAGCUGUUUAGCCAGCAUUUAGCGAAAUAAGUCAUAGCCGGAAGAAAUCAUUAUGGCCGUCUGAGCUGGAUGGAGGAGAAAAAGUAAAGUGAACAACUCUGACCAGAGAAGAAGUCACCAGAUGUAACUAAACACCUUUAAGCCUCUACCUCCUCAGCUGGUUACAAGAGGAAUGCUCCCACUACUACUUCAGCCACAACUGAGAAUAUGAAUAGUGAGAAAAGCAGGAGGGGAAGAGAAGCCUGGAGGAAUUCUCACCAGAUGCGCUGAACCCCUGUCAGCUUUCCUUCAAGGUAACUCAAGGUCAGGAGAGGCAGGAAGACAAUGUGGGGACAUUGAAGGCCCCUCCGCCAGAUGUGCGCUAACUAGGAGGCUGACCUCCCAGCUAAUAAGGUCACUCACUGGCUCCAGCAAGACGAGGGAACAACCAGGGUCUUGGCUCUGCUGCAGAAUUCACUUGGCACAGACUGUGAUUGCAGCUUCCUAAAUCCCUUUAGAACAAGAACUGA